AUUAAUAAAUACAAACAGUAUGGUACUCCAUGGUAAAACUGUCUGCAGGAGGCAGUUCGCAAAAACUAAGUGACCACAGAAGGAGAGAAGUGAGGGA
Molecule: long non-coding RNA, 97 nt
Organism: Thalassophryne amazonica
Lineage: Eukaryota; Metazoa; Chordata; Actinopteri; Batrachoidiformes; Batrachoididae
Exons: 3
Source: RefSeq, a predicted model, not a curated record